Pectinophora gossypiella (pink bollworm) is the source of this 570-nucleotide long non-coding RNA. RefSeq lists it as uncharacterized. NCBI's taxonomy places the organism in Eukaryota, Metazoa, Arthropoda, Insecta, Lepidoptera, Gelechiidae. The transcript has 2 exons. The record is from RefSeq and is a predicted model, not a curated record.
GAUUUCACAUUUUACGUUAAUCAGCUUUGACAGAUCAUGUACCCAAAGUAUUAUAAGUAGUGUUGUCCUUUGAUAUCGAUAACAUAAUAUUAUGUUUGAAUGUAACAUCUACAUGUUGCGUUAUUCUAUUCACGUUUAAUUUAUUUUUCGACCUGUUUCCGAUUUGGAUGAAGAUUACAUAAAGAUAUUGUAUUUUCCAGAUUUCCUAAAUAUCCUAAUUUACGAAACAAGAAAUUAAGAAACAAUUAGAUUCAGACCAUGAAACGAGAUAAUUCUCUCUUCUGAAGGACGCCUUCUCCUUAUUUAAGCCUGUGCUAAUUACAUUUCGAUGUAUCUUGCUUUCUAUCGAGCAGGAUACCAAACAAAAAUAUUACAUAGAGAUGCAGUACCAACAAUAUUCACUCACAUAUCUCACAUAAGGUAAAGUUAUAACGACCAGAGCCGACACUAUACACUUCUAAAGAAAGUGAACAAGAGGAAAUAUUUUUUUUUUAUCACCAAAAGUCGGAAUUGUUCAGUGCUUCGUAGUCAUUGUAUUCUAACUAUAUUGAAUAAAAAUCUUAUAAAGAA